Molecule: long non-coding RNA, 410 nt
Organism: Sitophilus oryzae (rice weevil)
Lineage: Eukaryota; Metazoa; Arthropoda; Insecta; Coleoptera; Curculionidae
Exons: 3
Source: RefSeq, a predicted model, not a curated record
AAAUAAUUAUCCCAUUUAAUUAUGCAUUAAAUUUUAGUGUCGACUUAUUGAUAGCUCGAUUACCAGUCAAAUAGUUUCGAUGUUUUCUAUACUAUGAAGAAAAUUUGAUCUGAUUAGAUUAAUUCAGAUGUAAAUUUAUGUUAUACGGUGAAUGUAUCGAGUCAUAUAUUAUGCAGAAUAUAUUGAGAAAAAUGGUAAACUAAUUAAAAGUGCUAACAAUUUCUUAGGAAGUUAUCGAUAUACCUAAUUAUUAGAAGCUGUAACAAAUGUUCAAAGAGUCAGAGUAUACUUUAUUAGAAGUGUGUUAGAUAGAAUUAUACACUUUAAAGAAAAUAUCUUUUAUUAUUGCAGGAUUUAUGAAAUGAUUACAUAAAUAUACUAACAACAAAUUGCAAUGCAUCUGUAUAUUA